Molecule: ribosomal RNA, 429 nt
Filed under: Chloroflexota bacterium
Lineage: Bacteria; Bacillati; Chloroflexota
Description: Chloroflexi bacterium partial 16S ribosomal RNA
Rfam family: Bacterial small subunit ribosomal RNA
Source: RNAcentral
UGGGGAAUAUUGCACAAUGGGCGCAAGCCUGAUGCAGCCAUGCCGCGUGUAUGAAGAAGGCCUUCGGGUUGUAAAGUACUUUCAGUCGGGAGGAAGGUGUCAAGGUUAAUAACCUUGGCAAUUGACGUUACCGACAGAAGAAGCACCGGCUAACUCCGUGCCAGCAGCCGCGGUAAUACGGAGGGUGCAAGCGUUAAUCGGAAUUACUGGGCGUAAAGCGCACGCAGGCGGUUGAUUGAGUCAGAUGUGAAAUCCCCGGGCUUAACCCGGGAAUUGCAUCUGAUACUGGUCAGCUAGAGUCUUGUAGAGGGGGGUAGAAUUCCAUGUGUAGCGGUGAAAUGCGUAGAGAUGUGGAGGAAUACCGGUGGCGAAGGUGGCCCCCUGGACAAAGACUGACGCUCAGGUGCGAAAGCGUGGGGAGCAAACAGG